This is an RNA transcript of Cephus cinctus (wheat stem sawfly), 2709 nucleotides long. It is a transcript of the gene named protein ABHD18, with no coding region annotated. Lineage: Eukaryota; Metazoa; Arthropoda; Insecta; Hymenoptera; Cephidae. The record is from RefSeq and is a predicted model, not a curated record. The transcript has 9 exons.
AUGUAUAUACAUAUGUAUGUAUUCGUGGGCAGCUCCGUCACUCACGUUCACACUCUAUUUAUGUCGCGGGUGGGAAAAUUUAAAUGCUUACGAAAAAAAAAGGAUUUUCUGUAAAUAAUAGAUCUAAAGUUUGAUAGUUAUUCGUUAGAUGUAUAGAUGUAUAGUGAGAGGUGGACCUCUGUACUGAGGCUAGCUAUCAAUCUAGAAUAAAAAUAAAGCUGGUCGUGUUUUUGGACGAUUGCAUAUAGACUUUAGGAUCCUUCUAGAUGCAUUCUAGUUACGACGCGCUGACAAAUAACAUUGAUAUUAUUUCAAUCUGCGAUUAGAGAAGGCCGAGUGUGUUUCUGGGAGUUCUAUCGCAUGAUCAGUCAUACGUGGUUACUAUUGGCCAGGAACAGCUGAAGCGCUUCUCGUGUACAGGGUUUAGCUAUUACAUUAAUAAAGUCCAUUGUAUUGUAUGUGUUUGAGAGAGAAACAGAUAGUUAGAAAUAAAAGAAUUUUUGUUUUUGGAAAAAUAUGCAGAUUUUUUUUGGUUUCGAAGAAGAACUUAGUUUUCUAAAGAUGUGAAUGCGUUAUCAACUAUCAAGAGACGUGCAACAGGUUUUAAAGUUGAAUUUCUCAUCGUAUUUAUCAGCUAGAGUACGAGGAGAGUACCUUUAUAAUGCCUCCCAGUCGUCUGGACGCCGUUUACAGAAGUAUUUUGCUCACAAAAUUUUUUACCAAAGGUUGGGGCAAACCUGAGAAUUUGAAAAGGAUAUUCGAAUUUAGGAAGGUUGUUGCGAACAGAGAAGCUUGUUAUAAUCUUAUACCUCGUGAUUAUCCAAUAACUAUCACCAAGGAUGAAGAAUGGUCAGAUUGUCAUAUUUUGGAAGGUUUUUUUUUAUCUCCUUUUGAACAUCAUGUACCCAAUUUAAUGCCAGAAGAAACAAGAAAUGCCUAUUUUCAAGUGAUAUUACCAAGUAAAUGGACUUCACAUAAAACUAAACCCAUGUGCCUACAUCUUGCAGGUACUGGGGAUCAUUUCUUUUGGCGGCGAAGAAAUCUUAUUGCAAAACCACUGCUAAAAGAAUCAGGUAUCGGUUCAAUUUUACUGGAGAAUCCAUUUUAUGGACUAAGAAAGCCCAAAGAUCAAAUACGAUCCAGCUUACACAACGUAUCAGACAUCUUCAUUAUGGGUGGAUGUCUGAUAAUGGAGUCCAUCGUUUUACUCAACUGGUGUGAACAGCAGGGAUUUGGACCACUGGGUUUAACCGGAUUAUCUAUGGGAGGGCAUAUGGCUUCUCUCGCUGCAACUAAUUGGCCUAAACCCAUUCCAUUAGUUCCAUGUCUGUCAUGGUCUACAGCUUCACCCGUAUUCACUCAAGGAGUUAUGAGUGCCUCGAUAAACUGGGAACUGUUAGAGUCCCAAUAUUUUUCAAACAAAGAGUACCAAAACGAUCUGGCCAAGAUGGUAAAGAUCAUCGAUCAAGACGAUGCCUUCCUGGCAGGUCAGCACUUUGCUAAACACUAUCCAGAAAGCAUGUUCAGAGUGAACCAGUUAAAGAGGGAAGUAAAGGUGCUUGACGGGGAUGCAAAAGGCGAUUCUAAUAGCCAAAACAAUAAUGCAGACCGUACGACCAACAAUAAUCAAAGUAAUUCCAAUGAAAAUAAUAAAGACAAUAAUACAAUGGACUCAAACUCUAUAAAAAAUGCUACCAAUCUUCGAAUUGCCGAAGAAACGGCAGCAGCCAAACUCUUCCCCUUAAACCUCAUAUCAAAUAAAUUUAAAGUUGGAGAAUCGAAUGUUCUCAAGGGUAAGCCUAUAAAUCUUGCACGUCACCUUGCAAUUCUCCCAAUUCAGAAGUCCAUUAAUCCUAACUAUCCCCCAUAUGAUAGUCAUCUAGUCAUUCAACAUGAAACUUCGAAGGCAAUAAAUGGCGAGAACGGGAGGCUCUGCAAUUUAUGAGAGGAAUGAUGGACGAAUGUACUCAUCUAAGUAAUUUCGAAGUUCCUGUCGAUACAGAACUAAUCAUAGCCGUAUGUGCCAGAGAUGACGCUUACGUACCACGUGAGGGAUGUAUGAGUCUCCAGGACAUUUGGCCUGGUGCUGAGAUUCGCUUUAUAGAUGCCGGACACGUAACGGCUUAUUUACUUCAUCAGAAACUCUUCAGAUCGACCAUCAUAGAGGCGUUCGAACGGACUAUGAAAAAGUAUCCUAUCGACAACAGUUGACGAAACCCCCAUUAUUGUAGCUAUUGAGUGAUUGUUACACUUGUAAAUAGAACUAUUAGACAAAACAAUAUUGAUUUAUGUAGACAGGUUUAUUUUGUCCUGUAUAUAUUAGGAAGGUAUAAUGUUCGCUCAAGAACAUUCUGUUCCUGUCGACAAGCGUCGAAGUACUGCCACAUUGUGCAAUUCAUAUUUGAAUUGGAUUUAUCGUUUUUCGGUGAUCCGAAUCGAGAAUAUAUUACACAUAACAAUGACGAUUGUACUUUGACGAAUCAAAACUUUAUAUUUGAAUAAGUGCACCGUUAGUGCUAUCACUGUGAAUUUGAUCGCCCUAUACAAUCAAUUGAUAUUUAUUCACAAUUGUUCGCCAUAUUUACACCAAGUUUUACACUAUUCUAGCCAAAAAUGUAUUUGUUAUAAUGAGAGAUUGUCGUUUUAUAUAUAUAUACAAAAGAAUUGUUGUAUGCUGAUCACGCAAUAAAUAUUGUGUUUUAUAACAGA